ACGUCCAUACCACGCUGAAUACACAGGUUCUCGUCCGAACACCGAAGUUAAGCAGCGUCGGGCGCGGUCAGUACUUGGAUGGGUGACCGCUGGGAACUACGCGUGAUGUU
This 110-nucleotide ribosomal RNA is filed under the name Eumeta japonica. Lineage: Eukaryota; Metazoa; Arthropoda; Insecta; Lepidoptera; Psychidae. The record is from RNAcentral.